UACGGGGGGGGCAAGCGUUGUUCGGAAUUACUGGGCGUAAAGGGCUCGUAGGCGGCCAACUAAGUCAGACGUGAAGUCCCUCGGCUUAACCGGGGAACUGCGUCUGAUACUGGAUGGCUUGAAUCCGGGAGAGGGAUGCGGAAUUCCAGGUGUAGCGGUGAAAUGCGUAGAUAUCUGGAGGAACACCGGUGGCGAAGGCGGCAUCCUGGACCGGCAUUGACGCUGAGGAGCGAAAGCCAGGGGAGCAAACGGG
Molecule: ribosomal RNA, 253 nt
Filed under: uncultured bacterium
Lineage: Bacteria
Description: partial 16S ribosomal RNA
Rfam family: Bacterial small subunit ribosomal RNA
Source: RNAcentral